UACAGAGGUCCCAAGCGUUGUUCGGAUUCAUUGGGCGUAAAGGGUGCGUAGGUGGCGCCGUAAGUCAGGUGUGAAAUUUCGGAGCUUAACUCCGAAACUGCAUUUGAUACUGCGGUGCUUGAGGACUGGAGAGGAGACUGGAAUUUACGGUGUAGCAGUGAAAUGCGUAGAGAUCGUAAGGAAGACCAGUGGCGAAGGCGGGUCUCUGGCCCGGAUCUGACGCUGAGGCGCGAAAGCGUGGGGAGCAAACAGG
Molecule: ribosomal RNA, 253 nt
Filed under: uncultured bacterium
Lineage: Bacteria
Description: partial 16S ribosomal RNA
Rfam family: Bacterial small subunit ribosomal RNA
Source: RNAcentral